AUGCCGCCGCGUCGUACGAGCGGGCCGCCUCCUCUAUGGUGUCAAAGGUGUCACGACCAAGGCGUUUCUCGCCAAACCAGAUCUCCAAGGAGAAGGCGCUGGAGCGGCGCUCGCGAACUCCGCAAAAAUCCGGAGCGCCCAGGCGGCGCAUCGAUAUGGUGGCGCAGAAGCGGCGAGACUAGUGAGUGGGGGCGAGUCGAGUGGUGGGCGGACAUAGUGUGGAGGGAACGCCUUCUUAAUAAUGCGCGCCGAACACAGCGCGCCAAAACCAGCGCACGCGCUAGGCCGAUUUCCCCUCGCACGUGCGAUCCUUUCUCGCGCGCUGGAGCGCUAAAACUAGGGCGACGACAUGGCCGCUUGUAUGAUCUAUGGCCAUGGGCCUUUUUUAAAAAUUGUGCGCGGACAUGA
Molecule: ribosomal RNA, 408 nt
Filed under: Triticum aestivum (bread wheat)
Lineage: Eukaryota; Viridiplantae; Streptophyta; Magnoliopsida; Poales; Poaceae
Description: partial small subunit ribosomal RNA
Source: RNAcentral